RNAcentral lists this ribosomal RNA (202 nucleotides) under uncultured bacterium. RNAcentral describes it as "partial 16S ribosomal RNA". It matches the Rfam family "Bacterial small subunit ribosomal RNA", at positions 593 to 793 of the family's 1533-position model. The record is from RNAcentral.
UGUGAAAGACCUUCGGCUUAACCAGAGAAGUGCAUCGGAAACUGGAUAACUUGAGUGCAGAAGAGGGUAGUGGAACUCCAUGUGUAGCGGUGGAAUGCGUAGAUAUAUGGAAGAACACCAGUGGCGAAGGCGGCUACCUGGUCUGCAACUGACGCUGAGACUCGAAAGCAUGGGUAGCGAACAGGAUUAGAUACCCUGGUAG